Mandrillus leucophaeus (drill) is the source of this 435-nucleotide RNA transcript. It is a transcript of the gene named transcription elongation factor B polypeptide 2 pseudogene, with no coding region annotated. The transcript has a single exon. NCBI's taxonomy places the organism in Eukaryota, Metazoa, Chordata, Mammalia, Primates, Cercopithecidae. The record is from RefSeq and is a predicted model, not a curated record.
UUAGUGCUCACACCAGUCCGCCACCCCCAGGACAUGUUCCUCAUGAUCUGGAGCCACAAGACCACCAUCUUCAUGGACGCCAAGCAGUCCAGCACAGUGUUCGAGCUGAAGCGCAUUGUCAAGGGCAUCCUCAACCUGCCUCCUGAUGAGCAGCGGCUGUACAAGGAUGACCAUCUUGGAUGAUGGCAAAACACUGAGUGGGUAUGGCUUCACCAGUCAAACAGCACGGCCACAGGCCCCAGCCACAGUGGGGCUGGCCUUCCGGGCAGAUGACAUCUUUGAGACCCUGUGCAUUGAGCCGUUCUCCAACCCCUCCAAGCUGCCUGAUGUGAUGAAGCCCCAGGACUCGGGAAGCAGUGCCAAUGAACAAGCCAUGCAGUGAGGACCCCCAAGAGGUCCAUUGCCCCCAAUAAAAGAGAUUUGGGAAAAGAAAAA